UAGGGAAUCUUCGGCAAUGGACGAAAGUCUGACCGAGCAACGCCGCGUGAGUGAAGAAGGUUUUCGGAUCGUAAAACUCUGUUGUUAGAGAAGAACAAGGACGUUAGUAACUGAACGUCCCCUGACGGUAUCUAACCAGAAAGCCACGGCUAACUACGUGCCAGCAGCCGCGGUAAUACGUAGGUGGCAAGCGUUGUCCGGAUUUAUUGGGCGUAAAGCGAGCGCAGGCGGUUUCUUAAGUCUGAUGUGAAAGCCCCCGGCUCAACCGGGGAGGGUCAUUGGAAACUGGGAGACUUGAGUGCAGAAGAGGAGAGUGGAAUUCCAUGUGUAGCGGUGAAAUGCGUAGAUAUAUGGAGGAACACCAGUGGCGAAGGCGGCUCUCUGGACUGUAACUGACGCUGAGGCUAGAAAGCGUGGGGAGCAAACAGG
This 429-nucleotide ribosomal RNA is filed under the name Gemmatimonadota bacterium. RNAcentral describes it as "Gemmatimonadetes bacterium partial 16S ribosomal RNA". It matches the Rfam family "Bacterial small subunit ribosomal RNA", at positions 355 to 776 of the family's 1533-position model. The record is from RNAcentral. Lineage: Bacteria; Pseudomonadati; Gemmatimonadota.